This 75-nucleotide transfer RNA is filed under the name Psammoneis japonica. RNAcentral describes it as "tRNA-Phe". It matches the Rfam family "tRNA". From Rfam's summary of the family: Transfer RNA (tRNA) molecules are approximately 80 nucleotides in length. Lineage: Eukaryota; Bacillariophyta; Plagiogrammaphyceae; Plagiogrammales; Plagiogrammaceae. The record is from RNAcentral.
UGUUUAGGUAGCUCAAAGGUUAGAGCAAAAGAUUAAAAGUCUUUGUGAUGGCAGUUCAAAUCUGUCUCUAAACAU